RNAcentral lists this ribosomal RNA (253 nucleotides) under uncultured bacterium. RNAcentral describes it as "partial 16S ribosomal RNA". It matches the Rfam family "Bacterial small subunit ribosomal RNA", at positions 524 to 776 of the family's 1533-position model. The record is from RNAcentral.
UACGUAGGGGGCAAGCGUUGUCCGGAUUUAUUGGGCGUAAAGAGCGUGUAGGCGGCCAGGUAGGUCUGCUGUGAAAACUCGAGGCUUAACCUCGAGAUGUCGGCGGAAACCAUCUGGCUAGAGUCCGGAAGAGGAGAAUGGAAUUCCCGGUGUAGCGGUGAAAUGCGCAGAUAUCGGGAAGAACACCCGUGGCGAAGGCGGUUCUCUGGGACGGUACUGACGCUGAGACGCGAAGGCGUGGGGAGCGAACAGG